Molecule: non-coding RNA, 45 nt
Filed under: Schistosoma mansoni
Lineage: Eukaryota; Metazoa; Platyhelminthes; Trematoda; Strigeidida; Schistosomatidae
Source: RNAcentral
AUCCAGCUUACGAGUCUCAAAUAGGACGAAAUGCGCGUCCUGGAU